This 517-nucleotide ribosomal RNA is filed under the name uncultured bacterium. RNAcentral's name for it is "bacterial SSU rRNA". It matches the Rfam family "Bacterial small subunit ribosomal RNA", at positions 501 to 1016 of the family's 1533-position model. The record is from RNAcentral.
CUACGUGCCAGCAGCCGCGGUAAUACGUAGGUCCCGAGCGUUGUCCGGAUUUAUUGGGCGUAAAGCGAGCGCAGGCGGUUAGAUAAGUCUGAAGUUAAAGGCUGUGGCUUAACCAUAGUACGCUUUGGAAACUGUUUAACUUGAGUGCAAGAGGGGAGAGUGGAAUUCCAUGUGUAGCGGUGAAAUGCGUAGAUAUAUGGAGGAACACCGGUGGCGAAAGCGGCUCUCUGGCUUGUAACUGACGCUGAGGCUCGAAAGCGUGGGGAGCAAACAGGAUUAGAUACCCUGGUAGUCCACGCCGUAAACGAUGAGUGCUAGGUGUUAGACCCUUUCCGGGGUUUAGUGCCGCAGCUAACGCAUUAAGCACUCCGCCUGGGGAGUACGACCGCAAGGUUGAAACUCAAAGGAAUUGACGGGGGCCCGCACAAGCGGUGGAGCGUGUGGUUUAAUUCGAAGCAACGCGAAGAACCUUACCAGGUCUUGACAUCCCUCUGACCGCUCUAGAGAUAGAGUUUUC